CAGAUUGCUUCCACGGUGGAAAAGCUCUCUAGAAACUCUACAAUGCUGUACAAAUACAAACUUUUCAACUUGCUUUGGGAUUAUAGAUUACAAAAUCCAGCUCUGAGGCACUACCACUGGCUGAACUCAACUGGAAACCAGAAUGUCCUCCAGCCUGUUGAUGCGCUCCAUACGGAUUAUGUUCACGGGGCACACAGCGUGAAGGAGGGUGAAUGGUGGGUUUAGAGAGUCAACCAGGAAAAGACCUCAGUGUAGAAUUUAUAAAAAAAAUUUACUGUGGAUGAAGGGGGAAAGAAUUACAUCCUAAGGCAAAAAUGAAGUGCAGACAUCCGAAAAGUAUUUACUACAUGAGCUAGCAGAGCAUUUUCAAACAGGUUUGGUAUUCUCAGUAGAAGAUGAGAAGAAACAAUCCCCAUGAAACAGAAGCAGAAAGCUGAGGAGGAGAGGACAGAUUAAGAUCUAAAUAGAGCUGCAUAAAGUAAUGAUUUUUUAAAAAAUUAAAGAUAUAGAAGCAAAAGCAGUAACAAGAAAAAUUGAUGUUAGAAAAUCAAAUGAGUUCUAGUCAAUACAGAAAGCUCAGCUGAAGUGGAAAAUUUCAAACAUAGAAAUUAUAUGUUAACAUUAUAUUGAUGAAAUAUAACCAAGAAAACUUAAAGUCAAGACCUAGCUUAAAAGUAAAAAUGAGAAAACCCUGAAGCCAGAAAAUGAGAAAACUUAAACAAACAGUGAGUGAGAGCUAAACAAAUAUCCCACAGAGAUCUGGGUUUAAUGCACGGCCCCAUGGAUGGAUUCUUAACAUCUUCACCAAGAUGCUGUGGUGGCCACGGGCCUGGGUCUGGGAGAUGGUGCUGAGCUUCCUAAAUAAAGAGACGAAUCUGCACAAGUCGUCAUGUCCAUUCCAAAGGACCAGAGAGACUGCCCACUGGCCUUGGGAUAUGGGAGAGUGCAACUAAUCCCCACAGGCCACUGGAAGAACAUUUAUAACCUGAAGGAAAUAGGAAACACAAGCGUGUGGAUGUGAUGCCUGAAUCUGCACAUUCACCCAGUACCGAGGGAGGCACAGAGCCAAGACAUUUGCCUGAGAACUGGAAGGACACCCCACAGCUUGGGCCACUCAGUCCUCCACUAGGAAAACAACCCCCGCUGACAAUGAGCUCAUUUGGACAAAUUUCAGCAGACACAAAGGAAAUAAAUUGCCAACAUCAGAAUUGGCAGCUACGAAAAUUCACAUCCCGUCAAUCCUUUUUCACAAAUCUAAAAGAGAUAUUAUAAAACAGGUUUAAAAUAUUCAGAGAUGAAAGGAAUACAACCAAAAUUCACAAACAAACAUAAUGCAAAAAAAGGGGAGUCAGAUUUGAAGAAGGAAAUGUAAAUUGUAGAUUAAAUAAUGUAGUUCACUAACAUUAAAAACCCAAGUGUUUAAGCAGUUAUGUCAGACAGUGCUAAAGAGAAAAGUGAUAAAAUAAUAGACAAAUAUAAAGAAAUCCGUGAGACUGAAGCAUGGCCACAUAGAGGAUGGAGAUGUGAAAGCUGAGAUACAAAGAAAGAAGGAGAUAUUCCAACUUGUUUGGAAUAACUACCGUUCUAGGAGAGAUUCCAGAAAAUAAGGGAAAAGCAAUGUUUGAAAAGAUGAUGUUGGAGGAUUUUCCAGAGUUGAAGAAAACAUGCAUACUCAGAUUAAAAACACUUGUCAAAUCUUGAGUAGAAUAAUUUAAAAACAAAUCCACAUAUAGGAUAAAUAUCGUAAGGAAGCUCAGAACAUCAAAGAUGAUGAUGAGAAAAUAAUUAAAACUUAGAGAAUGCAGAUCACUUCCCAGGGAUGAUCACCAGCCUGUCAGCAGACUUCUCAUGAGCAAUGACACAUCCCAAACCCAAAUGGAGCAAUAUCUCCCAAUUGCUAAGGAAGACUGAUAUCAUCUUUCUAAUCCGACCUCAAUUAUCAUUUAAGAGUCAGGGUAGAGUAAACAUAUUUUCAGAUACACUCACCCAGUAAGAGACCUUAUUCUUAUAGAAAACACCUUUUCAGAAGGAAGUACUUUACUAGAAAAGAAAUUGAAUCCACA
Molecule: long non-coding RNA, 2063 nt
Organism: Equus caballus (horse)
Lineage: Eukaryota; Metazoa; Chordata; Mammalia; Perissodactyla; Equidae
Source: Ensembl